AAGUCGUAACAAGGUUUUCCGUAGGUGAACCUGCGGAAGGAUCAUUACCGAGUUAGGGUCUCCUCCGUGAGGCCCGACCUCCCAACCCCCGUGUCUAUUAAACCUGUUAGUGUUGCUUCGGCGGAACGGCAGUCGCCCACCCUUCACCGGGAGGGAUACUGUCGCCGGGGGUAUCCAACGGUCCCACGACGCCCCCUGGAGAGGUCCGCCCGAUGGCCCCAACCAAACAAACUCCCAAACCAAAAUUAUAGUACCUAAACUUCUGAAUCAGACCUUUUGAAUACCAAUCAAAAAUCAAAG
RNAcentral lists this unclassified non-coding RNA (300 nucleotides) under plant metagenome. Its description in RNAcentral is "partial contains small subunit ribosomal RNA and internal transcribed spacer 1". The stretch from base 1 to 47 matches the Rfam family "Eukaryotic small subunit ribosomal RNA", at positions 1786 to 1831 of the family's 1831-position model. The record is from RNAcentral.